UGGACCAUGNAUAAGUCUCCUGGAAUGGAGCGUCAUAGAGGGUGAGAAUCCCGUCUUUGGCAUGGAUACCCAGGGCUUCUGUGAUGCGCUCUCAAAGAGUCGAGUUGUUUGGRAAUGCAGCUCAAAAUGGGKGGKGAACUCCAUCUAAAGCUAAAUAUUGGCGAGAGACCGAUAGCGAACAAGUACCGUGAGGGAAAGAUGAAAAGCACUUUGGAAAGAGAGUGAAACAGUACGUGAAAUUGUUGAAAGGGAAACGCUUGAAGUCAGUCGCGUCAACUGAGACUCANCCUUGCCUUGGCUUGGUGUACUUCUUAGCUGAUGGGCCAGCAUCAAUUUUGAUCCUCAGAUAAUGGCAAGGGAAAUGUGGSACCUUUUUAGGUGUGUUAUAKUCCUCUGUCGGAUGUGAGGGUUGGGAUUGAGGA
Molecule: ribosomal RNA, 422 nt
Filed under: Russula rubropunctatissima
Lineage: Eukaryota; Fungi; Basidiomycota; Agaricomycetes; Russulales; Russulaceae
Also listed under: 1 other name
Description: LSU rRNA
Rfam family: Eukaryotic large subunit ribosomal RNA
Source: RNAcentral